GUAAUAAAACAUCUCAGUACUGCAGAGCUCUCUCUUAGUAAUAAAACAUCUCAGUACUGCAGAGCUCUCUCUUAGUAAUAAAACAUCUCAGUACUGCAGAGCUCUCUCUUAGUAAUAAAGCAUCUCAGUACUGCAGAGCUCUCUCUUCGUUAU
Molecule: long non-coding RNA, 153 nt
Organism: Oncorhynchus tshawytscha (Chinook salmon)
Lineage: Eukaryota; Metazoa; Chordata; Actinopteri; Salmoniformes; Salmonidae
Exons: 2
Source: RefSeq, a predicted model, not a curated record